RNAcentral lists this long non-coding RNA (629 nucleotides) under Theropithecus gelada (gelada). Its description in RNAcentral is "lncRNA (ENSTGEG00000006741.1)". Lineage: Eukaryota; Metazoa; Chordata; Mammalia; Primates; Cercopithecidae. The record is from RNAcentral.
UCUGAGUGGUCGCAGUCGGGGAAGGGGGUUACCUGGGCGUAGUGGCACAUGUCUGUCAUCCCAGCUACUCGGGAGGCUGAGGCACGAGAAUCACUUGAACUCAGGAGGCGGAGGUUGCAGUGAGCCAAGAUCACACCACUACACACCAGCCUAGGUGACAAGAGUGAAACUCCAUUUCUACAUGAAGUACAUACCAGCUGCAAACAUUGAUUCCGUAUCGAUGAAUGAGGGGCUGAGGUGAGGCGUGCUGACCCAGCAAUGAGACUGGACAGGUAGGCAGGGGCCAGGAUUCCGGACUUUGGGACGUUUUUCUGACUCUGGGAUCUAUUGAAAGAUUUUAGGAACAAUUUACAUGAUAAGAUUUGUAUUUUAGAAAGGUGACUAAUAUAACAAUGUAGAGGACCCUGCAGUGUGGAGAGGCAUGAAACUGAAGGUCCAAUGCCGUGAGUUAACCAAGAUGUCCAUACAGAAGAUGCAUUGGCGGGUUUUAGGAAUAAUGUUUCCAAAGGAUCAAGAAGGAAGCAAAACGCUGGGCACAGUGGCUCACACCUGUAAUCCCAGCGCAUUGGGAGGCAAUGCACUUGAGCCAAGGAUUUCAAGACCAGCCUGGGCAACAUGGCAAAACCCCA